AACUCCGGUCCUGUCCCAUCCGGCCCACACACUCAGCCAGUCCCUGGUCCUGUCCCAUUUCUGAGCCAAGGCCUCCCUAACACAGACUGGGAUGGCCUGUGUGUGCUGUGUGUCCCUGCAGGGACUUCGCAGGAGCCAGCAGGUGGCCGGAGGCAGGGGUAGCCGCGUGCCUGUGGGCUGCUUUUUUGGCUCCAGUCAGCAGCAGCGUGGUGAUUCCAGGCAGAGCUUUGGUAAAGCUACUCCUGUGCUUCCUGUAGGCAUCACGAAGGAAGAGAGUGUAUUUGGAGAGACUGGUGCAAGGCUCCCCACACACACCAGCCCCAUCCUGCUACCUGAAACCCAGACCGCGCCACCCCCUUGCCAUCCGUCCACCUUACCAGGUAGAAUCUCCCGGCCCAGAGAGCAGAGCCGCCUGUGUCAGAGCCUGCGUCACUUGUCACAAACCCCAGCAGGCAGCACUGAACACUGAAGGGCUGUGGAGGGGCGGGGGCUCUGAGGCUGAGAGGACCCCUGCAUCCCUGUGUCCUGGGCACAGCUCCCCUCCCUCCUGCAACCUUAAGCCAUCACUAGAUUGCUCCAGAGCCUGGUCGGGUGUUAAUCUGUCCCCAGUUCUAUCCACUCAUGUGCUUCCUUUGAAAACUCAAUGUGACUGAGAGCUCUUACUGUAGAUAUAGCUCUGCGAACCUGAAUCGUUUUCUUUUGCUGUGUUCUUUCAGAUGAAAUAUCUAUAAAUAUCUAUACAUUAUAUAUAUAUAUGUAUAUGUAUAUUGGGUCCUCCCGUGUGUGGUUUUCAGUGGAGGUUGUCUGGUCGAGGUGAACUUUUACUGAAAUUUAUUCUUUCCCUCUCUGUACAAAGUGAAGAGCCUAAUUUUGUGUAUUCUGGUGGCUGGUGUCAUGAGACUUUGAGAUGACAAAACGUAAAACAAAUAAAACCCUUGUCAACAAAGAAAGCGUUAACUGU
RNAcentral lists this long non-coding RNA (961 nucleotides) under Oryctolagus cuniculus (rabbit). Its description in RNAcentral is "lncRNA (ENSOCUG00000031597.1)". Lineage: Eukaryota; Metazoa; Chordata; Mammalia; Lagomorpha; Leporidae. The record is from RNAcentral.